RNAcentral lists this long non-coding RNA (210 nucleotides) under Phoenix dactylifera (date palm). RNAcentral describes it as "long non-coding RNA (PDAC_LNC018772)". Lineage: Eukaryota; Viridiplantae; Streptophyta; Magnoliopsida; Arecales; Arecaceae. The record is from RNAcentral.
GGUGAUCAGCCAUCAAAGUAAUCUCUGCAAGGGAGCUAGCACCCUGGGGAGAUAGAGAGCUUGGAUUGGUCCUCUGCUUCGUGUGGAUACCCGUAGAGGCCGGACGCUUGUGCGGCUUCAAGCGAACCUUCAUCCUAAAACCACGAACUCCAGUUUGCGGUGAUCAUCUACCCGCACAAGGUGAAGAUCUGAUCUUCUGAAGGUUCUAAA